ACUUCUUGGCAUAUAUGAUUCUCUUUGUCAAGGAACUUUUCUUGACAAAACAAAUAUUCAAGAGUUAGUGCGAAAUCCUAUCAAGACUAACACUUCACUCAAUUGGUUCUUGUUGGUCUCUGUCUUCUGCAAGACAUCACAACUUACCAAUUUCAAAUGUGCAGGAAUAAGAAUACUUUUUCCAAUUCCACAUUUGUUGAGUGUUUUAAACCUACUAAUUACGUGUCACUCAAUUCGCAAUCUUGGAGUAUGACUCUAAGACUCGAUAUUGGAACGAAGUAUGAUUGACUUCUUGAUUUAACCAUUUCCUCAAUUCUUGAUUCCUCUUCUUAGACAUACAAAUAUACUAAGACUCACUUAGAGGAUCAAUUGAGAUAUGGUUCUUAAUCAUUAAGACUUAUCAUAAAACACAAUAAAAGGUACUCUCCCUUCUUCUUAGAAUAGAGAAACUUUUAUCUUUCUGCCUACUUGAUUCUUCUUAUUCGUUCUGCUAUUUACUGAAACUCUUCCAAUGAACUCAGAAUUAUAAGCAUAACCAUAUUUAGUAAACUUUAGUAAAUCAUGACGAAUAUCUUUAUCAGUCUUGUGGCGGAUUUGAUCAACGCACAACCUAGUGUACUCGAUCUCCUAGUCCUUCACUUGACACUUUGUCAAAGAAUUAGUCUAAUUUCCAAAUAUGAAGUUUCCCAUUCAUCACACAACCAAGUUGUAUGAUUCCAAGUUUCUGUCCAAUUGAAACUAGGGCGAUGAGAAACUCUCCCUAUUUGGUAAACUUUUGACAUUACCACAAAUAGCAAAACAAAGAAUCACAUCCAAUUCAACAUUGCUAAAAACAGAAAUACAAACACCCAGUUUCACACACAUGCCAUUGCAAGUAGUAGCUCCUGUUAGGGCCUAAAUGUUGUAAUAGUCGAAGUGUCAGUUAGAUUGUUACGAAGUUUAUUUUGUCUUCGUAAGAAGGAGUCUUCGGAUGUAAUGUUAUUUGUACUAAGGCAUUAUAAAGAGUAGUCUUAAUGUCUAGUCCUUAGUAUUGUUAUGCUUUUGUUCUCCUAUAAAUAGGGGUCUGUACUAAGUGAGUAGAACAACUUUUUACUCAGCUUUUACAGAUUAUUCUUUGUACUCUGUAAAAUCAAAAGCAUAAUAUGAGCUGAACAAAUAUUAUAUUUACUCUGGUGUUCAUCGUUAUUUCUUUUUCUAAAUUCAUACUUGAAUUGAUUUUAAACUCGAUUACAAAUCUCAUCAAUUGGUAUCAGAGCAGGAAUCCUUUCUGUGAUCUGAUUUUCAUACGUUCAAAAAGAUUUUUGAAUCUACUGUUUGAUUCAAAAAGUUUCCGUUCUUUUUGAGUGUGAAAAAUUCUUCUUGAUCUCAAUCUAGGAUUUGAUUCUGCAAAAAUAUUUGUAAAUCGAGUGUUCUUUGUGUGAUUCUGAUUUGAAAUAUACAAUUUGCUUUCAAUAUUCUCAAAGUUUUUGUAUCAUCUUGAAGUUUUUGUCCGUACAACAAUGGCGUCAUUCAAUCUGAAUUCGAUGACAUCAUUUUCUCAUUUGCUUGGAUCAUCCACAAAAAUUCCGAUGCUUAUUCCAGAAUAUUAUGAUCAGUGGGCAGAUCGCAUGCAAGAUUACUUGAACGGAUUGGAUGAAGAAUUAUGGAAAUGCAUCUCAGGAGAAAUCAAUCAACCUGCACAAGUUCAGCCAAUCGGUAUGUCUUCAAGCAGUUCGGAAGUCAAUGAUCAAACCAAUCGUUUAAAACAACUGGAGAAGAAAUGCAUGAGGGAAUUAAGAGGUGCUUUGCCUCCUGUUGUGUACAAUUAUGUCAGAACAUGCACAACAGCUAAAGAAAUCGGGAACAAUCUCAAAGACAAAUUUCAAGGAAGUGAAAAGAUGAAGAUCACAUCUGUGAAACAAUGCCUGGUGGAACUCAAAGAUUUCAAACAAAAAGAAUCUGAGUCUAUUGAAGUAUACUAUGAUCGGUUCAACGAACUAAUCUAUCGUUGUAAUCGUUAUAGUAUUACAAGGUCAUCAAUGGAAUAUAACUUGAUAUUUGUAAUGGGACUUCGAAAGGAGUGGAGGAGUGUAAGUAUGAUGGUGAAAAAUCAACAGAGUUUUGAUACUUCGACUUUAAAUGACUUGUACAAUCAAUUAAAAUCUCAUGAAAAUGAGGUUAAUGAAAUAGCUGAGGAAGCAAUAGCAAGUCUUGGUGGACCAUUGGCACUUGUUUCGAAGGCUUCAGAAAGAGAGAAUGAAAAAUCGAAGUCUGAUGAAGAAGAAGGUUUUCUGAUGAAUUCUGAUGAUGAGGCUGUUGCAUUUUACUCAAACAAUCGAGUAAAGAAAUUUUUUAAGAAACCUUUUAAUCCAAAGAAGUCAUCAGAUUCGAAGGGUAGUUUUGAGAACAAAAAUAAAGUGGAUGAAAAGAAGAAAGAAAUGAAGACAGAUUCGAAGAGUGAAAUGGAGCAAAUGAAGAUGAUGUUGAAAGGUGAUACAUGGAUUAAUUGUCAUUAUUGCUAUGGAGCAAAUCACUUGGCAGUAGAUUGCUUGUUGAGGAAGAAGGAGGAAAAGAAAAAUAAAACAAAGGAUGAAGCGUAUCUAAGCUUCUUGAACUCAUACACCUUUGCCUUAGAAAGCUCACAUGUGUGUCUAAAGAAAUUUAGAGCUUAUGUUACUAAGUCCCAAAUGUUCAGACCAAUUGCCAAAUCUCACAAUUCGAACUAUGAAAAGGGAUUCUGUAAUCAUAAUCAAAUUUGAGAAUACAAUUUUCACAAUUGCAAUCUUCUUAAAAUCUCUCUUAGUGAAAGCAUUUCCUCACAAUCAUUUUCAUGAAGGAGAUAAACCUUAUGACACUUAGAUUUUAAAGUGUAUGUGUUCCUAUCCAUGUGAAUUUGUCAUAACAACAAUCAUAAGACAAUGUUUGUGACAAAUCCAACUCAUAUAGAUUGAACUUGUUCAAUCUUGAUUUUUCGCCUUAUGGCAACAUGAAUGCCCACCAUUGCUUCCAGGUUGUUAAGCAUCUCACCCUUACCUUAUCAAUGUACUUUCCAUUGAUCAGGGUGCCUUGCCAUUAUGCAAUCCAAUUGAGAACUCACAGAGCUCAUAUUGCAUAGUUGACUUAAUUUGGAAUGGCACAGAAACAAAAUUAUGUCAACACGAUAGGUCGCCAACCUCAAGUCGUGUGCUUGUGAUUAACUAUCGGUUUAUUCUUGAUUAGCUCUUGAACUUUUCAAGACAAUUAAGACUCCCACUGACUUCUUGGCAUAUAUGAUUCUCUUUGUCAAGGAACUUUUCUUGACAAAACAAAUAUUCAAGAGUUAGUGCGAAAUCCUAUCAAGACUAACACUUCACUCAAUUGGUUCUUGUUGGUCUCUGUCUUCUGCAAGACAUCACAACUUACCAAUUUCAAAUGUGCAGGAAUAAGAAUACUUUUUCCAAUUCCACAUUUGUUGAGUGUUUUAAACCUACUAAUUACGUGUCACUCAAUUCGCAAUCUUGGAGUAUGACUCUAAGACUCGAUAUUGGAACGAAGUAUGAUUGACUUCUUGAUUUAACCAUUUCCUCAAUUCUUGAUUCCUCUUCUUAGACAUACAAAUAUACUAAGACUCACUUAGAGGAUCAAUUGAGAUAUGGUUCUUAAUCAUUAAGACUUAUCAUAAAACACAAUAAAAGGUACUCUCCCUUCUUCUUAGAAUAGAGAAACUUUUAUCUUUCUGCCUACUUGAUUCUUCUUAUUCGUUCUGCUAUUUACUGAAACUCUUCCAAUGAACUCAGAAUUAUAAGCAUAACCAUAUUUAGUAAACUUUAGUAAAUCAUGACGAAUAUCUUUAUCAGUCUUGUGGCGGAUUUGAUCAACGCACAACCUAGUGUACUCGAUCUCCUAGUCCUUCACUUGACACUUUGUCAAAGAAUUAGUCUAAUUUCCAAAUAUGAAGUUUCCCAUUCAUCACACAACCAAGUUGUAUGAUUCCAAGUUUCUGUCCAAUUGAAACUAGGGCGAUGAGAAACUCUCCCUAUUUGGUAAACUUUUGACAUUACCACAAAUAGCAAAACAAAGAAUCACAUCCAAUUCAACAUUGCUAAAAACAGAAAUACAAACACCCAGUUUCACACACAUGCCAUUGCAAGUAGUAGCUCCUGUUAGGGCCUAAAUGUUGUAAUAGUCGAAGUGUCAGUUAGAUUGUUACGAAGUUUAUUUUGUCUUCGUAAGAAGGAGUCUUCGGAUGUAAUGUUAUUUGUACUAAGGCAUUAUAAAGAGUAGUCUUAAUGUCUAGUCCUUAGUAUUGUUAUGCUUUUGUUCUCCUAUAAAUAGGGGUCUGUACUAAGUGAGUAGAACAACUUUUUACUCAGCUUUUACAGAUUAUUCUUUGUACUCUGUAAAAUC
This 4365-nucleotide long non-coding RNA is filed under the name Lactuca sativa (garden lettuce). RNAcentral's name for it is "long non-coding RNA (LSAT_LNC003830)". Lineage: Eukaryota; Viridiplantae; Streptophyta; Magnoliopsida; Asterales; Asteraceae. The record is from RNAcentral.